RNAcentral lists this long non-coding RNA (6743 nucleotides) under Fragaria vesca (wild strawberry). RNAcentral describes it as "long non-coding RNA (FVES_LNC000177)". Lineage: Eukaryota; Viridiplantae; Streptophyta; Magnoliopsida; Rosales; Rosaceae. The record is from RNAcentral.
AGUGAGGAGGUGAGAGUAGGGGAGAGAGAGUGAGGACCGGCGAGUAGGGACUGAGUUCGGAGACCGAGUCAGGGGACGAUUGGCGGGACCGGGUAACGACUCGCGGACUCGUUGGUUUGAUUUUUGCGUCAAUUCGUAUCUUGCGGAAAAAGCUCGGAUUUUUGGGUUUAUUUUUUUAUUUUUUUGCUGAGUUAAACUUCGUUAUCAGUCACUGUCACGGUAACGUUUGCUUCCCGUUUAUCGAAGUGGUAACCGGGUCAGGCCCAACAAAAGUGAGAGUGGUUACUCGAGGCCCGUUUGGUAUUUUACCGGCUUCUCUACUUAAUUUUUAGAUUUGCUAAGAAUAAUUAUAACCAUUAGAUUAAGUAUAGUCUGAGGCAGUCCCGUCAUCCUUACUCAAUUUAUUUAAUGGUUAUAUAAAAAAUCAAAGUAUUUAACAGUGCCAGCUAGCCCUUUAGUAAAGAAAAAAUAAAAAAAUUCAAGUAAAUUCAAGCAAUUUAAACGUGAAUCCUUAUCGAAUAGCUUUUCUUCUAACUUAGGGUUUAGAAAGUAGUAUUGAUCAUCGUCCCUAUAUUAAGGUAGUAUAACUAUUGAUCGUCCCUCAUUCUUAUCUUCCUCGUAGAGCACUAGUAUUUGACUAUUUGGGGCUCCUCUUUGAUAUUAAUUCUGAUGUGUUGUCUGAUCCUCCAUAGACAACAGCAUUGAGGGAUAGACCAACAUCAUUGGAUCUGUCAUUAAAUGAGGCUGGAUAGCCGAGAUUAAAACAAAAAGUUUCACACUUUAUAUAUAUAUAUAUAUACACACACAAUAAUGAUCAGGUGCAGACGUCCGCACCAAAGUUUUGGUGCGGAUUUCUAUUUUUACACCACUUUUCGAUCGAAUUUCUUCAUCUCCAUCGUCUAGUAUCUAGAUAAUAUUGUGUAGAUAUCUCUGUAAAAUUUCAGCCAAUUUGGUGAUCGUUAAGGCCCUCAAAUUCAAAAAAUAAAUGGACAGACUGAAUUCUGUCCGGUUGUGUUAAUACCAGAAAAACUCUAGUUUGAGGGGCUUAACGAUCACCAAAUNNNNNNNNNNNNNNNNNNNNCGCACUUGUAUCAGCAUUGUAUAUAUAUAUAUAUAUAUAGGGAAGACACUUGAAGCGAUUUAAAAGACAUACUUUGAUACAUGAAAGCCAUCGUCUCUCAGUUCAGCUUCCUUACAACAUAAAUAUUAUAGCAACACCAGAAAUAUAUCUUACAGUUUUUCAUCAGGGUUUAUAGCAUUGAAGGACAGAUAUCAUCAGUGACUCUAAGUCUGAUCACUGUACUUCACCCACUCAAGCAAGGCGGAGAUCAUGGAGAUGAGUAAUGGAGGACAUAAAUGAACCUCCACCGUGUCCAUCCUCAAGGUUGUGGUUGCUGUGGUGAUUAUUGAUAGGGUUGUGAAGAUGAGUAAUGCCGGAGACAAGUGAACCUCCAUCAUGUCCAUGGUCAAGGUUGUGGUUAUUGUGGACGCGAUUGAAAAGAUACAAGUUGGAUGCUCCAUUUGCCAAUGCAACCGCAGAUUCAUAGUCUCCUUCAUCAUCCACAUAACCAUACUGCGGAUCCUCAUUACCUGCCUGCACAAUCAAAAUUCCAAACCAACAUCAGGCUACAUAUAUACAGAAAUAUGUAUCUAUAAAUUAGUUAAGGAAUUAGAAAGCACUCAGGAGUUUGAGGAAUGUUCUUACAUAGCUAUGAACUAAUUGACUGUUUCUCUCCUCCUGGUUCUUCACCUGCAUCAGUGAAAUAUAUAGUUACCAUACAUAAUCCAUAUAAUACAAAAUACCACGAUCUAUUGCACUUAAAAAGUUCCAGCCGAGUAAUUACCUUUUUCCAGGUAGUGUCUGCUUGAGUCUUCAGUACGUGGUACUUAAUCAACCAAUGCCAAUAUACCAUCAUCAAAACCGUCAGAUGUUGAUUAAAAUCCAGAAUGGACUUUCUAUUCAAGGAUGAAUAAGAACUAGGAUGCUUUGCUAAACAGUAAACAGAGAUUCAUUUACCAGAAGAACCAUAUCUUGUAAAGCUAGCUAGUUCAGUCUCAUUUUACAUUUUCGUUUGGUAAAUAUACAUCUCCUGGACAUCUCAAACUUUUAUAAUUAGUUGAAGAUUAAAGCAUUUGGACCCAAAGUCACAUAAAAGUUUCAAUUCUAUAUUAACCUUUUACGAAUUUAAACCAAAAACAAAGUGGAGCUUGUUCGAUCUGAAACCCUAAAUAAAAAUUGAAUUGGCAGAUCUAUAGAUGAUAGAUCCAGGCUUUAUUUACCAACGAAGUGAAAAAACAGAAAAAUACGAAGUUGGAAACACAAUAUAACAAAAAGGUCGGAUCGAGUACCUUUCUUUCACGUAUGAUCUGCACGGAUUGAGCUAUCUUGUCCUCCAGAUCUUGCAGCUCAGCUAAGUUCAGACCAUCUAGAUCAUGCCCCAGCCUUUGCCUAUUAAAUAAUCAAUUCCAAAAAUAAACAAAGCUAUAUUUUGAAAUUAGCAAUCAAUUCAUGUAAAUAUUAAGAGAAAAUUACACAGUCACCUGAUGUCCCUCCUCAGCUUAUUGUUAACCUCCUUCAGUUUCCACAAGUUCUCUUUCAUUGCCUGCAUCCACCAAAAUCAGCAAACAAAAUUAACACAUACAGAAACUCUACAAAUAUUUUGUUUAUAGAAUAAAAAAAAUUGACAGACUCCUUUGGUUAACUUUAAUCACCUCGUAGUGCGAGCUCCAUAGAUCGAUCUGCAAAUUCUUUUGGUAGAGAUCAAACAUCUUCUUGUGCCUGAUUUACAUCCGUAUCAGUUCUAUAUAUGGAAUUAUCAAGCAAAGAUCAAAAGUGAACAAAAGAUCAUAAAUAAAGAGUAGCUAGCUAGAGAUGUUGGACGUACGUAGUGGUAGGGCUAAUAUACUCGUGGAUUUUAUCAGUGGAGGACUGCAUGAUGAGGGAGACAUGAGCAUCACACAGAACCGUGAGCUCUUGAGCCUUCUUGAAGAUCCCAUUUCGUCGCUUCGAAUAUGUCACCUGCCUGUUCGUCUGGUUCUCAAUCAGCUUGAUCUCAAUCUUCCCACGACCCAUUUCAGAAAAUUAGCUCCUCCUUCUUCUGCAACUACUUCUUCUUCUGCUUUGUUCUGGGGUGAUUGUUGGGUUCAAGAAAUGAAGAGUGGGAAAGGAGAUAGAGUCUUAAAGAUGAGAUUGUGGAGGUGGAGGGGUUUCCAUAUCAGGAAAGUGAGGGGAAAAGUUAGGUUGUAGUGUAACUGGGAAUGUCUGUUUGCUAAGGUUAGGUUAUGUCAAUUUUAAAGCAAAGAGCUAUUCUAAGUCUAAGGUUAGGUCACUGCUGAGAGCUUGUGAUGUAGAGGGUACAAGCUUUGGCCAGUCUGCUUUUGACCAUCUCAGAUUCACAGACAACCAUGAAGAGACUAGCUCGGCUAUCACGUACAUUGAUUUGAUCAGCUAGUAACCUAGGUCUCUAAACAUAUAUAGAUACUACUGGUGGAGAGUUAGAUUAAUUUCAUUUCAUAACUAUUUUGCAAGCAAAUGUGCAAAAAUCAUUUGCAUUAUAUAAAUGUAGUGCUAGCUAUAGGUUUCAGCACAUAUCCAACACAGCUAGAUGAGCUAUGAUAGCAUUUUAGAAUUUAGACACACAAAGAAACUACAAAUCCUCUAGCUUGUAUUGUUGAAGGAUACAUCCUUUGUUUGUAGGAAAGAUAGAUGAGGUCUUCCUUAUUGUGUAUUGUGUACAAAUACUACACUAACCUCAGACUGAUACGCAUUUUCUAUUACUCAUGCUGUUGAGAGACUGCAGUUUUGUAUUUCACUCUCACACACCAUGCCUAAGUGCUGUAUACCAUGAGACAAAUCCUGAUAGAAAUCGAAUGACUUACCAAUUUUCAACAUCACACCUAUAUUUACCGUAGGUAGUAAUUAUUCUUAAACAGAGAUUCUAAAGAGGACAUUAUCACUAAUCAAAUGCUGAUAUAGUGAUAUAUAUGUUGUUAUCAUCUCGAUCAUAUAUAUGAGACUAGGGCUCUUAUCAUUAGCAACAUAAACACCACAGAGAUCAAUAUAUAACUGACCAUUCAAGAGUAGCUAGGAGCCUGCUCGGAUCGAUCUUGAACACCAGAGCAACCACCUCGAUCAACUGUCCGAGUGAGUCAACUAAAGACCUCUCCGUUGAUCCGAAGAGUAAACCGGUGCCUCUAACCUGAGUCUAUUCACUUGACUGGGUUCAGUGGUUCAUCGUUAUGUUUAAAGCAAAUAAUGGUUCAUAAGCCGAGUCCUUAAACUGGUUAUAGACUUCUAGUAUUAGGUUUUUGGGUGUAAGAUUUGAUUUGAUUUGAUUUGAAAGACAAGAAAGUCAAUUAACUGAUGUAUAUUUUAGAUCAGACAGGGUGCAGUACAAUCCUAUUGCCCUGGUCUAGAACAGUGGGCUUGAUGAAAACCCCAAAUAUCUGGGCCAAAAGGGCCGUGGGUUUCGUGGGCUAGAUGUACUAAUCCAAAAUGAGCCUUUGAGGAAACAAAUUAUGUAUGUUAUGAUCUUAUGACUUGUGACGACUACCUAGAAGUGCUUUCUUCCUUUGAAAUCCAAGCAUUUUCAUAAAACCAGUGCACAUUCUGAUAAAUGAUCCUGAAAUGUGGAUUUUCAAAUGAAUGGUACAUUGGAACAUGAUGUUGGGAACUGGGAUAGGUGUGCAAGAAGAGUUUGUCAAAUGCUGCACAAAAUAAAGAUAGAUCGAUCUAUUCUCCUAUUUUUUUCCUAAUAUAAAGGCUAAACAUUUAGCAAUAACCAUUUAACAAAGAGUGCAUUAGUGGUUACUCUUUUUACGUUGCUUAAAACAUGACAUAACAGAAGGGUAUUAGCUCAUACAGAGCCAUAUAUUAUUAUGUUUAUCCAUUUUCUAAUCCCAUUAUGUUAAAGUUUUAUUCUGUCAUAAAAAGGUUGUAACCAUUUGACGAAGUAAGAAACUCGUUGCCUCAUUAGAACAGUCAUGACAGUAUGCGUGCACUUAAUAUGACCUAGCUCACGUUGCGCUAUUACAGAAGGUCUUAUUAAUGGCAUAAAACCGGAAAACAACGAAAAUACUAAACAAUAAAAUAAAAAAAGCAUAGAUUAAGGUACAUGUCCAGCUAGGAUUCCCUAAGGCAGCCCAACCCCAAGCCGUAACCAAAGCCCAAACAAUCAAAGAGAUUGCGGAAACCGCCCUCGCCCGCUAAGGAGAAUUCAAAUUUGCCAAUCAGCAAAUUUAUGGUCAUGGUAUGACCUACCACUAAAUAGCUGCCAUGUGCUUUAACCAUAGUUAAAUUAAUUAAUGAAAAAGAGAAAAAUAAUUUUAACUACAAUAAAUAAUACACAUAUAUAAUUACUAAUUUAAUUUCCUAAACCAUUCGUCUUCAUCAUUUUCUAACUCAGGUUGGUUUUCAUGAUUCUUAUUUGAAUCUGAAAAUCCUAAAAUCUCAAGAUAAGUUACUGAGAAUAACAUAUUUGAAAAUGGGAGAACAUUUUGAUGGGUAAUCGAGUGAAAUAAUGAAUAUGGGUGGAGUCUUUUUUUCUUUCUUUCUUUUUCGGCGAAGCACGCCCUGAGAUAAAUAGGCUGAUGUUGUUGAUAGUGUCUGGGCUUGGCUUGUCUUUUCUAUUAAUUCUUUGGUGACCUCUGUGGCACCCAGACUCAUUUGAGAGGAGAAUGAUGGAGUAAGGGAUAUGAGAGUGAGAUCACCUAUACUACCAAUUCUUCCAAUCAGCGUUUCAUAUGAGAGAGAAAGAGAAUCAAAGAGAGAUAGAGACAGAGUUCCCAAUCCAAAAGUUCGUAUCCACAACCACCAUCUUCUUUGGCGAAAAAUUUCGACUUCGACAUCCUUCAAGACGUCAACAGAAAAGUCUCUCAACCGGAGAGGGGUCGGGGAUGUGGUCGGGUCCAUACGGUUGUUGUGGUGAACUGGUGAUUAUGGGUGAAAGAGAAAGUUGUCGGCUGAUGGGUAAUUAGAUGAGUUUUUCUCUCUUCCAUUUAGGAGGUUUUGCAAUUGGAGUUUGUUGGGAUUUUUUAAGUUGCUGCAGACCUGGGUUUAUGGUUUGUGGCUAAGAGUUGGGAGAGACGAAGAAGAGGGUGAUUAAUCAAAGAAGUUUUGAUAGCACCGGUACCCUAACUUUUGUGGCACGGUCAAAGUGGUACCCAUACUUUAAAAACUAUCAAUGUGGUACCCAAACUCCUAUUUCGCUACCAAGGAAAGACCUGAGGCCAAUUUCCGUCACGGUGCCGUUUGUUUGCUGACGUGGCCGGCAUGGGCCCCACAAAAAAGGGCAAAAAGGACAUUUUACACUAUAUGCACCCAAAUCGAGUCAAAACUCGACUUCCCUCCCCCCAUCUCCUCUCGAACUCCCUGUUCUCUUCUCUCUUCUCUCUGAAACCAUAUCAGGACUAAAUCACACCUGCAUGUUCAUCACUUUUUCUCAGAAAUAUUCGAUCAAAGGAGGGGAAGCAGAGAUUCGCUACUUUUGAAGAGAUUCGACUGCAGAGAGUCAUGGAGAGUAGAAAGAUGUUUGGGAUUUUCAGGGAAUCUGGUCCCCCAAUACAAGACAGUAAGUUUCUUCUCUCUUUUCGAAUCUCUCUUUCGUAUUCUUCUGAAUCUUAUCUUACUCUUCGUCGUGUAUUGUUCUUCUUGGCAUAAUCAUCGAAUUUGGGGUUAAAAAUUGGUUAACUUCGAAUUAGGGAUUUAUUUAGUUUAGGGAUUUUCAGGUUAGUGGUUAAUANNN